GAUGAACGCUGGCGGCGUGCCUAAUACAUGCCAGUCGAGCGAACAGAUGAGGAGCUUGCUCCUCUGACGUUAGCGGCGGACGGGUGAGUAACACGUGGAUAACCUACCUAUAAGACUGGGAUAACUUCGGGAAACCGGAGCUAAUACCGGAUAAUAUAUUGAACCGCAUGGUUCAAUAGUGAAAGACGGUUUUGCUGUCACUUAUAGAUGGAUCCGCGCCGCAUUAGCUAGUUGGUAAGGUAACGGCUUACCAAGGCAACGAUGCGUAGCCGACCUGAGAGGGUGAUCGGCCACACUGGAACUGAGACACGGUCCAGACUCCUACGGGAGGCGGCAGUAGGGAAUCUUCCGCAAUGGGCGAAAGCCUGACGGAGCAACGCCGCGUGAGUGAUGAAGGUCUUCGGAUCGUAAAACUCUGUUAUUAGGGAAGAACAAAUAUGUAAGUAACUAUGCACGUCUUGACGGUACCUAAUCAGAAAGCCACGGCUAACUACGUG
This 497-nucleotide ribosomal RNA is filed under the name uncultured bacterium. Its description in RNAcentral is "partial 16S ribosomal RNA". It matches the Rfam family "Bacterial small subunit ribosomal RNA", at positions 28 to 507 of the family's 1533-position model. The record is from RNAcentral.